RNAcentral lists this long non-coding RNA (1350 nucleotides) under Homo sapiens (human). Its description in RNAcentral is "long intergenic non-protein coding RNA 3013". Lineage: Eukaryota; Metazoa; Chordata; Mammalia; Primates; Hominidae. The record is from RNAcentral.
AGGAGUGACAGAGAAGACUGGCAGCUGCAGAGCAGGACAGACCAGAUUGGCCAGUACAACAGCAGAGGGCCAUGUUGGGCUUUGACUCAGGAAUCCUGGUGGAGGCAAUGAUGAGAGAGAAGAGAUAAAACACACUAGUUUCUAUCAAUCCAUCUUAGCAGCAGAGCCAAGUGUUAGAGUUAUUGCUGCCUGAGUUAUAACAGCUGCCCUGGGAAUCUUGUCUGAACAACAAGUUAACUGCUGUUCCCAGUUAUAUCUGGUCUUUCCCACCCCCAAACAUACACAAAAGAUUUUUGUCAUUCUUGGCACUGGACAACAGAAGUGAUAAGACAUGCCAGCAGAACUCUAAAGGCAGAAUGUCCUUCCACCUGUUUUAUGCUGUAAGACAAACUUCCAAGUGCGAGGCAGUGUGGAGGGCUGUUGCCUUGAAUGGCAGCUGAAUGCACCAGCGGGAUCCUUGGCAGCAAUGCCCAGGCACUGAAGUCGGGCAUUCAGGAGAGCUAAAUGGAGAAAAGAAACUUGAGCAAACUGCUUCCUGGAACACUGAGAACCUGAAUGGGAAAUUAAGAAGAACCAGAUUCUUUCUAUUCUUCCACCAGCCAAGCAACUUCAGGAUGGGGGAAUCAAGCAAAACCAUGGUGAAGAGAUUCAUUUAAAGAGGACAAGUGAUUUAUUCUACAUCUCAGGAGACAGUUCCUUAAGGUGAUGAGCACAAAAGGAUCCAUCUUAUACAGUGCUUGCCAGCUUCCAUAAUACUACUCACCACGAUGUUGAAAUCACCUGUUCCAGAACCAGUCCUGUCCUUUGACAAGAAGGAUUUAAUUAUCAGUAGUGGUGGGGACUGGCUGGAGAGAGGAAAAACACUUCAAGGACUCUGCCACCUUUCGUAGAUGGAGAGUGCAAAGUUUGUACCAUGGAACUCCUUCUCUAACAGUUACUCUGUGGCAGUGCCUAUUUCAAACCUCCCUUAACUUCUGAUUGUAUAGAUGUUUGUUUCAUUUGUUCAUCUGUUUGUUCACUUAGUCAGAGAUGUUUUAAGCCUUAAGAGAAAUAGUGGACUAGAAAAUGCCUUGGAAAAGUACAAAGUUCAAUCCAAGUAAACUGUUUUUAAACUAGGAAUUUAUGAAGCCUAAAAUAUAAAAUGUAUAUACAUGGAUAUGCUCUGAAGUGAGGUAGAGGGGUAGAAAUCAACAUUGUGAUAUUGUACUAUAGUUUUGCAAGAUGUUACCAUUGGGGGAAAAUGUUUGAAGGGUAUACGGGAUAUCUCUGCCUUAUUUCUUACAACUGCAUGUGAAUCUACAGUUAUCUCAAAAUAAAAAUUUAAUUAACAAUUGAUUACAAUUAACAGCA